RNAcentral lists this long non-coding RNA (353 nucleotides) under Carica papaya (papaya). Its description in RNAcentral is "long non-coding RNA (CPAP_LNC015369)". The record is from RNAcentral. Lineage: Eukaryota; Viridiplantae; Streptophyta; Magnoliopsida; Brassicales; Caricaceae.
GAGUAGCCACAGGAUGUGUGCAUAGUGCACACAUCCCCUCCACAUGCACGGAAGCACAGGAUAUGUGCACAGUGCUGCACGCACAGUGCAGGGUCAGGACCUGCGCGCCCUAUCACACGUUGGUGGGCCAUCCACAUGUCACCUUGCGCGCGGAUAGACGCUGCAACGCGCGCACAGUAGGCCUACGUGGAUAGGCCCUGUGCGCCUGGGGCCUGCCACCUAGGGCAGUGCACUACCACUACCUCGGCCAGCGUGCCACUACCAUUGGUGGAGGAGGCCCUCCUCCCUUUUGUUUUAAGCCGAGCAUCUUUUUCUCCUCUCUCUUCACCAAAUUUUGCCAUUUGGUGCGAAUU